CUGUGGAAAACACUUUUGGUUGUUGGCUUGUUGCUGUGUUGUUGCUGUGUAUCUGCUAUUGCUGUGUUGACUGCAUACUGCCCAGCUGAUCAUUCCUUUCUUCUUUGUCUUCUAUACCAGGUACACAACCAAUGCACUGUCAAAUGUAAUUGGGAAAUUUGAGCAUGAAUACAAAUGAAAGUCCUGAAGAAUGUCUUUUAUACAUAGAUUGUUACAUUAAAUAUUCAUGUAAUGUGUAAUAGUUAGCAUUCUUGUUUAGAUACUGAAGGUAGCCUGUGUGCCUAGGAGAUGUCAAUAUGUGGUGAUUGAAUGCUAGUUUGUAUAUGUAGGUUGAUAGAUAAAAGGGUCUCCAAUGCAUUAGGUUGUAUCUUAGGUUUUUUUUAUGGUUAGCAUGUCCUUAAAUACAUAGAACUAUCCAUGUCCUUAAAAUAAACGGCGCAAGUCUGCACUUCUCAACCUCACGAAGGUCGAGCCCGAAUCAAACGAACCCAGCAGCCUUUCAUCAGAAAGGCAUUGGCCCAGGUCCAGCCGAUACUGUGUGGGCUGGGUUUGGGCCCACGAUGCUCGAUUAGCUGCCCAUGGGAAUG
RNAcentral lists this long non-coding RNA (587 nucleotides) under Nicotiana tabacum (common tobacco). Its description in RNAcentral is "long non-coding RNA (NTAB_LNC010245)". Lineage: Eukaryota; Viridiplantae; Streptophyta; Magnoliopsida; Solanales; Solanaceae. The record is from RNAcentral.